GGCAGAAUAGUUCAGUUGGAAAGAGCACUAAUAGCACAAUCACUUAGAGGUCCCUGAUUCAAUUCCGGGUUCAGCCA
This is a non-coding RNA of Mycena albidolilacea, 77 nucleotides long. NCBI's taxonomy places the organism in Eukaryota, Fungi, Basidiomycota, Agaricomycetes, Agaricales, Mycenaceae. The record is from the annotation of a GenBank genome assembly.